GGACAGCGAAGAAGUUCACGAGACACUUGGCAUGUUUUAGUGGUUUUGGAUUCCUGUGUUCACGAGCACUGCAUCAUAUAUUUAGAUGAUAACAUAAGGUGAAGUCUAACAUGAGGGAGCCAAUAGGUCCCUCAUGACAUGAGGGAGCAAAAGAUGCUUUUUUUCUACCUUAGGAUUAAAAUAAUGGAUUGAUCUACUCCACCUCAGCAAGAGAGCACAUACACCUCUCCACACU
RNAcentral lists this long non-coding RNA (235 nucleotides) under Medicago truncatula (barrel medic). RNAcentral describes it as "long non-coding RNA (MTRU_LNC001687)". The record is from RNAcentral. Lineage: Eukaryota; Viridiplantae; Streptophyta; Magnoliopsida; Fabales; Fabaceae.